AUUAAUUUGAUUUUGGUUAAUUAAAAAUUGUUUUAUCUUUUAUUUAUAAUGUAUUUUUUUUUAAUAUUAUUUUUACAGUAUUUUAUAUUAAUAUUUAAUUUUAUUAUUUAAUUAGACUAGAUAAUUAAAUUUGAUAAUAUUGUGCCAGCAUCAGCGGUUAUACAAUUAAUUUUAAUAAUUUUUUUUGGUAAAAUAUAAUUAAUUUAUUUAUUUUUAUUUAUAUAUUAUUUAGAGUGAAAUUUUAUAUUAUUUUGUUUUUUAGAUUUUAUGAAAUUUUGAUCUUUAACUAGGAUUAGAUACCCUAUUAUAUUGAAGUUUAAAGUUUUACCUAGGUAUUAUAAGGUAUUUCUAAAAACUUAAAAUAUUUGGCGGUAAAUAUAUUUUUUAGAGGAACUUGUAUUGUAAUCGAUAAUCCUCGUUUAAUUUUACCUUAAUUUAUUUAUUAAUAUAUCGUUGUUUAGAAAUUUUUUAUUGAAUUAAUUUUCUUUAUUCUUUAUGAGAUAAAAAUCAAAUCAAGGUGUUAUUAUAUUAAGGUUUAUUAUGAGUUACAUUUAAUUUUAUUAAUUGUUGAAUAAUUUAUUUAAAUGUAUAUUUGAAAUUGGAUUUAAUUGUAAAUAAUUAUUAAAUUGAAUUAUUGAAUUUAUUCUUAUUUGUGUACAUAUUGCCCGUCGCUCUUGUUUUUUAAAAUAAGAUAAGUCGUAACAUAGUAAUUUUACUGGAAAGUGAAGUUGGAUUGAA
RNAcentral lists this non-coding RNA (738 nucleotides) under Pentapycnon charcoti. The record is from RNAcentral. Lineage: Eukaryota; Metazoa; Arthropoda; Pycnogonida; Pantopoda; Pycnogonidae.